Molecule: non-coding RNA, 2058 nt
Organism: Ictidomys tridecemlineatus (thirteen-lined ground squirrel)
Lineage: Eukaryota; Metazoa; Chordata; Mammalia; Rodentia; Sciuridae
Source: RefSeq, a predicted model, not a curated record
GAGGGAGGAUGGCAGGCUGCGGUGGCUUCAGGUCCUCUCCUCUGUGACAUCAUGUCCAGAAUGGGCCUCUACCAACCGUUUCCUAAAACUCAUCUCCUGGGUUUUAUCUACUCUGAAAAUACAGCAGGCGGCUCAACGUGUCCUGGGACCUGGAUCAAAAUAAGGUCAUUUUCAUAAUUGAGCGGAUCUACAGUAGCUCCAAGAUCUGAAGAUUUCUCAGGAGUUUGGGGGUCACAGGCUUCCAAGGAAAACCAGGUCCCAGGAAUCGGUGGAACCCUCCAGCCAUGGGAGGGGCAGGAAAUGAGGGGUAGAAACCAAACAGGAGGGAGAACGGAAUGUGCUCCUGUCCCAUUGGAGAGAACCCAGUCACAUGGUCUCCCUCGCCGCAAGGGAUGUUGGGUGAUGUAGUUCCUACUGGGCAGCAAGGUGCCCAUCUAACAGGAAGGAUUCCACUCCUACACAGAAGGGGGACGUGCCCCGCUGAAUCCCAUUUUUUUUUUCAAUAAGACAGAUAUAUUAUUUAUUCCUGAAGGAUAUUACAGAAGACCAGAUCAGACCGACUACAACUGACCUGUCACUUGGAGGUACCCACAUCUAAACACUUUACUGAUUUUUCUGCCAUUUCUAAAAUCCCCUCUGCCUGGAGAGCAUUUUUCAUGCCAGCCUCACAAGGGCCAUCUCAGAUAUCCUAUCCUGUGUGAAGGUCUCCAAAUGGAUCCCGCACCUGCUCGGAUUGCAGUGCUCUCCUGGGUGGGUGUUGGUGCCUCUCACCUCCUACACAGCAGUUGCUUAUUAAAUGGGAAGAGCUGGCACCCUCCCUGGUUCUACCCAGCGCUGUUAUGGUGAGCUGGACUCCAUGGGCUAAUAACAUCGUGUCAUCCAAAGCCAACCCUGAGAUCAUUUAUUCCCGUUUCACAAAUAUAAAAACAGAGCCUUAGCAGGAUUCCACUUCCCCAAGCCACUGAGUCAAGAAGCAGGCUCUCAGUCCCCUUCCCCUGUCCCCUUCCCCCAUUUCUUGAAGUGAACUGGAUAAAAAAUUCUCCUUUUAGUGGACAGCAGUGAACUGUCAGGAUGCUAAUGUUUAUAGGUGGCCUUCAGAAUUCUUUGUAUUUUUCCAUAGGAGGCUGAUCUGUUCAUGAACUUAUGGCUUCAUAUCUAAGUUUUGAGGGGCAAAGGAGCACUUCCUAUUAAUAAAUCAACCUUUCCACCUGGGGCCAUUGUUCUCACGUAAAAGUCCUGUGUAUUGCCAAAUCAAAGACCUGGCUGAACAAAACACCAGCCUAGAAACCCUUAUGGAAAAAGACUUGUGUAAGUCUUUUUGAUUGAAAUUUGGUUUAACGAAUCAAUUUUUUUUUCCCGAAAGAUCCUAUAUGAUGUCAAAGGACAAGAAACCACCUGGGAGCCUUAUUUGCAAUAUACAGCAAAAGACCAAUUUCCUUAGUAUAUAAAGAGCUCUUAGGAAUAAUUUGGGAAACAAUAGUCCCAAAAGAGGAAGGGAAAGAGGAGAGAAGAAGAAAGGGAGAUGAAGAAGAAAUAGUGGUGAAGAAAUUCAGAUGGGCUUAAAUGUAACUAACCUUUCUCAAGAUUCAGGAAGCCCUACUUUAUCUCCAUUAGAUGGACAGCUCUCCAGGCUUUUGAUGAUACAAAAUCGAUUCCUGCAACUUUCCAACGUCUCCACGGUCGGAGAAUUCCCACGAAGACCCCUUCACUAGAGGAUUCAUCAUGCAUGUUUGUUACGUCAAGUAAGAACGUUGGGAUUUCCACUUCGGCAGAAAUUAGGUGACACAGCUGAGUGGCAGCCUCGUGGACAUAGAUGAAGGCCAGCCAGGGUCUAAGACACCAGGCAGACUGUGGGGAUGAGAUAAAUGCGAGGUCCUCAGGUGAUUCAUCUCACCCAUCACCACAGGAGGAGAUAAAGCCUUCCCAGUGAUGACGGCUCUGGUUUUUCCUUUGUAACCAAGUUGGCGAUACCUGUUAUCACGAUCCAGUUCCAAAAGUAGAAUCAUGUCUACGUAAAUUUUUGCUGGUUAAAAAUUAGAGUUUUCAAAGAAUUGUGAA